This is a non-coding RNA of Microcebus murinus (gray mouse lemur), 866 nucleotides long. The record is from RefSeq and is a predicted model, not a curated record. NCBI's taxonomy places the organism in Eukaryota, Metazoa, Chordata, Mammalia, Primates, Cheirogaleidae.
GGAAUAUUUAGGGGCUGCCUCCCUCUCCUCUCCUCCGUCCUCCUCACUUCCUUUUCUGUGCCUGUUCCCCCAGGACUGCGCGAGUUUGUUUUGACAGUAGCAUGCUUGUCGCUGAAUCGUGCAGCCAGGGAGCCAUAGGGUUGGACUAGGACUCCCCAGGAGGGCAGAGAGGCCCUUGGUUUGUCACAGUGCCAGCUGCCAGGACAGUGGAAUGAGCUCAGUGAUGAGUCGUCUGAACAUUGCACAGAGAUACAGGGGUGCGCAAUUGAGUGGCCUCCUUUUGCUGAGCCCUGGCAAGCUGAAAUGUUUUGCUAAUAGAUACUAAACUGGUUAAUGUCCUAUCGGGUCACAGAACUGUAACCUUGAUGCUAUCUUUUUUGCCAGUCAGAAAUCCACAAGUCAACAUAACUUCGUUGUGUCUGAGCUCGAAUCAAACAGUAGUAAAUGGCAAAGUCAAACACAGGUGCAGCCUAGAUUACUCAGUGUACUCAGAUGAACUUACUAGACAACAACACUGACAGGAUGAGCGGUCAUUUAUUUCCAAGUUUGGGAUGUUUUCUUCUUAACAAUACAGUAGUCCCCCCUUAUCCAUGGUUUCAGUUACUCAGGGUUAGAAGGUCAGUGGUAGCUUAACGCUAUGUCACAAUGUCUGUGUCAUUCACCUUCGGCUCAUCAUGUAGGCAUUGUGUCACCUCGUAUCUUCACAGGAGGAAGAAAGGUGAGUACGCCCACCAGGCCCUCAGUCGCUCACCAUGUUGUUCCAGAGUGCGAUGGCCAUCUCCGCAUGGGCCCGCUCUGAGAAGUGGAAACAGUCCUCGGAGAAGAAGUAUGUCUAAGGUCCAAUCGUACAAAAAAAAAAGUUAAAG